This is a transfer RNA of Aspergillus aculeatus ATCC 16872, 73 nucleotides long. It matches the Rfam family "tRNA". Rfam says of the family: Transfer RNA (tRNA) molecules are approximately 80 nucleotides in length. Their secondary structure includes four short double-helical elements and three loops (D, anti-codon, and T loops). Further hydrogen bonds mediate the characteristic L-shaped molecular structure. tRNAs have two regions of fundamental functional importance: the anti-codon, which is responsible for specific mRNA codon recognition, and the 3' end, to which the tRNAs corresponding amino acid is attached (by aminoacyl-tRNA synthetases). tRNAs cope with the degeneracy of the genetic code in two manners: having more than one tRNA (with a specific anti-codon) for a particular amino acid; and 'wobble' base-pairing, i.e. permitting non-standard base-pairing at the 3rd anti-codon position. The record is from Rfam. NCBI's taxonomy places the organism in Eukaryota, Fungi, Ascomycota, Eurotiomycetes, Eurotiales, Aspergillaceae.
GCCCGGCUAGCUCAAUCGGCAGAGCGUGAGACUCUUAAUCUCAAGGUUGCGGGUUCAACCCCCGCGUUGGGCU